AUUAGAGGAAUUGUUGUACACUAUCAUUAAAGCAGAGGAAGCCCUUACUCAAACUAGAAGGAGAAGAAGUUGAGUCACAUGUUGAUGCUGGCAUGUACUGGUGAGGCUUUGAUUUGAAGUGAUGCUUUGGCAAGUACCUUAUCAUAUUUUUGGGUUUUUGUCUUAUAGAAUUGCACAAGAAAAAGGUCCACCAAACUCAUUUGCUUGUGGCAGUUUGUGUUAAACAACAAAGCAUACAGAUUUAGGAGAAAUUUUUCAGUGUACCUUGAAAACGGGAUGGUACACCACAAGUCAUUAUACAAGUUGAGAGACACAUGAAAAAUAAAAUUCUCUCCACUUAUAUAUUAACAUGUGGUGUAACACUCCAUGUUCAGAUUACACUGAAAAAUUUCUCCACAUUUAUAGAGUCGUAAUAAAUAUGAACAAAUUGAAAACUAGAGUUUUUUUUAGUGUUUUUAAUGCUAGUAGUCAAAUGGUUGUUUUAUUCACAUCCCACGUUUUAUUGACUACACCUCAUAUACUUAAUACAUCUCAUAUUUACUUUUUAACUAAAAUUUAUCUUAAUACACCCCACAUACUUUCCAAUACUAUCCUUACACCCCACACUUUCUACAUAUACCCCAUACUCUCCACUUAAAAUUCAAAUCAAAUAAUGUGUUCGUCUCACAAGUUCAUCUUCUCCACCAUUUUCAAAAACGAGUAUUGUCAAAUGAUCAUGGGUAGAAAUUUCUAUGAGGUGUAAACAGAAAGUGCUUCAUCUUCAAAUCAAUGGUUUAGGGUUUAGGGUUUAUGAAGAAAAAGUUUGACCAAACUCCAUUAGUAUCAUCUUGCUUCUUUCUUUGUGCAUCUUUGAGGACUCCACUUUUUCCUCUAAUCUGGAAUUGUUGGACUUGAGAUAUGUAGAGUUAAGGGGUUUCUCAAAUGGUUUAUUAUCUAUUAAUAAACUCGAAUCAAGUACGAAACGAAAAUUUUCUCAUAUAUUGUAACAUCCCACAUUGCCCAGGGGAGUGGAUCAUGUAAGCUUUAUAUGUAUAUUCUCAUCUUUACCUAGCACGAGG
RNAcentral lists this long non-coding RNA (1058 nucleotides) under Malus domestica (apple). RNAcentral describes it as "long non-coding RNA (MDOM_LNC019875)". The record is from RNAcentral. Lineage: Eukaryota; Viridiplantae; Streptophyta; Magnoliopsida; Rosales; Rosaceae.